Molecule: long non-coding RNA, 791 nt
Organism: Oncorhynchus tshawytscha (Chinook salmon)
Lineage: Eukaryota; Metazoa; Chordata; Actinopteri; Salmoniformes; Salmonidae
Source: Ensembl
GAUAAGGAAGGAAGGAUAGGAUAGGAGGAUAAAGAAGGGUAGGAUAGGAGGAUAAGGAAGGAAGGAUAGGAUAGGAGGAUAAAGAAGGGUAGGAUAGGAGCAUAAGGAAGGAUAGGAUAGGAGGAUAAGGAAGGAAGGAUAGGAUAUGAGGAUAAAGAAGGGUAGGAUAGGAGGAUAAGGAAGGAAGGGUAGGAUAGGAGGAUAAGGAAGGAAGGGAUAGGAGGAUAAGGAAGGAUUGGAUAGGUAGGGUAAGGAAGGAUAAGGAGAGGUAGGAUAGGAGGAUAAGGAAGGGUAGGAUAGGAGGAUAAGGAAGGAUAUGGAAAGGAAGGAUUGGAUAGGAGGAUAAAGAAGUGUAGGAUAGGAGGAUAAGGAACGAAGGAUAGGAUAAGGAGAGGUAGGAUAGGAGGAUAAGGAAGGAAUCAACAGUAACACACUCAUCAGUAAUCCUCAGGCUCGGCUGCGCGCACACACAUGUACACACAAAACAGGCUGAUCUUAUCAGUGGCAGCCAUAGGGUUGCUGUAAUAACCCUGCUGAGGGUGGAGGGUUUGUGUGUUAGUGCUGCGUGUGUUAGUGCUGCGUGUGUUAGUGCUGCGUGUGUUAGUGCUGCGUGUGUUAGUGCUGCGUGUGUUAGUGCUGCGUGUGUUAGUGCUACGUGUGUUAGUUGUGCGUGUGUUUGUGUGCGUGUUUGUGCGCAUGCUUGUGUUUGUGCGCGUGUUUGUGCGCGUGUGCACAAAGUAGUGGUGCUGGAGGUGCUGCAGCACCCCCCUGAUAAAUUGAAAUAAUUUAGC